GCAAGUCGAACGCUCUCGAUCUUCGGAUCAAUGAGAGAGUGGCGAACGGGUGAGUAAUACGUAAGAAACCUGCCCAAAGACGAGGAUAACUAUUGGAAACGAUAGCUAAUACUGGAUAGGACAUCAGACCACAUGGUCUAAUGUUUAAAGGGUGAGAUUGCACCGCUAUGGGAUGGUCUUGCGCUGCAUUAGCUAGUUGGUAAGGUAACGGCUUACCAAGGCGACGAUGAGUAGCUGGUCUGAGAGGAUGAGC
RNAcentral lists this ribosomal RNA (253 nucleotides) under uncultured bacterium. RNAcentral's name for it is "partial 16S ribosomal RNA". It matches the Rfam family "Bacterial small subunit ribosomal RNA", at positions 57 to 305 of the family's 1533-position model. The record is from RNAcentral.